RNAcentral lists this transfer RNA (74 nucleotides) under Selaginella moellendorffii. RNAcentral's name for it is "tRNA tRNA-Ile". It matches the Rfam family "tRNA". From Rfam's summary of the family: Transfer RNA (tRNA) molecules are approximately 80 nucleotides in length. Their secondary structure includes four short double-helical elements and three loops (D, anti-codon, and T loops). Further hydrogen bonds mediate the characteristic L-shaped molecular structure. tRNAs have two regions of fundamental functional importance: the anti-codon, which is responsible for specific mRNA codon recognition, and the 3' end, to which the tRNAs corresponding amino acid is attached (by aminoacyl-tRNA synthetases). tRNAs cope with the degeneracy of the genetic code in two manners: having more than one tRNA (with a specific anti-codon) for a particular amino acid; and 'wobble' base-pairing, i.e. permitting non-standard base-pairing at the 3rd anti-codon position. Lineage: Eukaryota; Viridiplantae; Streptophyta; Lycopodiopsida; Selaginellales; Selaginellaceae. The record is from Rfam by way of RNAcentral.
GGCCUUUUAGCUCAGUUGGUCAUACCGUGGUGCUAAUACCGCCAAGGUCGCAGGUUCGAAACCUGCAUAGGCCA